UACAGAGGGGGCAAGCGUUGUUCGGAAUUACUGGGCGUAAAGGGCGCGUAGGCGGCCUGCUAAGUCGAACGUGGAAUCCCCGGGCUCAACCCGGGAACUGCGUCCGAUACUGGCAGGCUUGAAUCCGGGAGAGGGAUGCGGAAUUCCAGGUGUAGCGGUGAAAUGCGUAGAUAUCUGGAGGAACACCGGUGGCGAAGGCGGCGUUCUGGACUGUAUCUGACACUGAGGAACGAAAGCCAGGGGAGCAAACGGG
RNAcentral lists this ribosomal RNA (253 nucleotides) under uncultured prokaryote. RNAcentral describes it as "partial 16S ribosomal RNA". It matches the Rfam family "Bacterial small subunit ribosomal RNA", at positions 524 to 776 of the family's 1533-position model. The record is from RNAcentral.